CCGGCACGGGUGAGUAACACGUAUCCAACCUGCCGUCUACUUUUGGCCAGCCUUCUGAAAGGAAGAUUAAUCCAGGAUGGCAUCAUGAGUUCACAUGUCCGCAUGAUUAAAGGUAUUUUCCGGUAGACGAUGGGGAUGCGUUCCAUUAGAUAGUAGGCGGGGUAACGGCCCACCUAGUCUUCGAUGGAUAGGGGUUCUGAGAGGAAGGUCCCCCACAUUGGAACUGAGACACGGUCCAA
Molecule: ribosomal RNA, 239 nt
Filed under: uncultured bacterium
Lineage: Bacteria
Description: partial 16S ribosomal RNA
Rfam family: Bacterial small subunit ribosomal RNA
Source: RNAcentral